This 432-nucleotide ribosomal RNA is filed under the name uncultured bacterium. RNAcentral's name for it is "partial 16S ribosomal RNA". It matches the Rfam family "Bacterial small subunit ribosomal RNA", at positions 29 to 507 of the family's 1533-position model. The record is from RNAcentral.
AACGAACGCUGGCGGCGGCCUAACACAUGCAAGUCGAGCGAGGACUUCGGUCCUAGCGGCGGACGGGUGAGUAACGCGUGGGAACGUGCCCUUUGCUUCGGAAUAGCCCUGGGAAACUGGGAGUAAUACCGGAUGAGCCCUUUGGGGGAAAGAUUUAUCGGCGAAGGAUCGGCCCGCGUUGGAUUAGGUAGUUGGUGGGGUAAUGGCCUACCAAGCCGACGAUCCAUAGCUGGUUUGAGAGGAUGAUCAGCCACACUGGGACUGAGACACGGCCCAGACUCCUACGGGAGGCAGCAGUGGGGAAUCUUAGACAAUGGGGGCAACCCUGAUCGAGCCAUGCCGCGUGAGUGAUGAAGGCCUUAGGGUUGUAAAGCUCUUUCAGCUGGGAAGAUAAUGACGGUACCAGCAGAAGAAGCCCCGGCUAACUCCGUG